CGAGCGGGCCGUGACUGGCGCGCUGGGAUGGGACGGACCAUCGGGGAGCGGCCUGUGAGCGACAAGAGUGCCGUGCGCCUGGGCCAGACCG
RNAcentral lists this non-coding RNA (91 nucleotides) under Actinobacteria bacterium OV320. RNAcentral's name for it is "ZMP/ZTP riboswitch aptamer (pfl RNA motif)". It matches the Rfam family "ZMP/ZTP riboswitch aptamer (pfl RNA motif)". Rfam says of the family: Previously known as pfl RNA. Lineage: Bacteria; Bacillati; Actinomycetota; Actinomycetes. RNAcentral also lists the same sequence under 1 other name. The record is from Rfam by way of RNAcentral.